This 465-nucleotide ribosomal RNA is filed under the name uncultured bacterium. RNAcentral's name for it is "partial 16S ribosomal RNA". It matches the Rfam family "Bacterial small subunit ribosomal RNA", at positions 28 to 506 of the family's 1533-position model. The record is from RNAcentral.
GACGAACGCUGGCGGCGCGCCUAACACAUGCAAGUCGAACGGGCGAGAGAGAGCUUGCUUUCUCGAGCGAGUGGCGAACGGGUGAGUAACGCGUGAGGAACCUGCCUCAAAGAGGGGGACAACAGUUGGAAACGACUGCUAAUACCGCAUAAGCCCACGACCCGGCAUCGGGUAGAGGGAAAAGGAGCAAUCCGCUUUGAGAUGGCCUCGCGUCCGAUUAGCUAGUUGGUGAGGUAACGGCCCACCAAGGCGACGAUCGGUAGCCGGACUGAGAGGUUGAACGGCCACAUUGGGACUGAGACACGGCCCAGACUCCUACGGGAGGCAGCAGUGGGGAAUAUUGCACAAUGGGGGAAACCCUGAUGCAGCGACGCCGCGUGGAGGAAGAAGGUCUUCGGAUUGUAAACUCCUGUUGUUGAGGAAGAUAAUGACGGUACUCAACAAGGAAGUGACGGCUAACUACGU